AGUAGAACAAAGGCAUCAGCACGAUUCGCAUCGAUAUAACGUAAUUUAUUCCUAAAUAUAUUCUUUCUUUUAAUAUUCCUCGUUUUAAUCAAAUUAUUUUAUAAUUUAAUCCGUGAUAUUUUUAUCAUUAUCAAGACUUCUUUGCGUGGAAGAUUCAAGAAGAAUGUGAUAUCGAAUUUUAAGGACGCUUUGCUCUUGGAAAUUAAGCAGAUGAAGUUACGAAUAGUGGGGAAAUAUCCGUCCAUCUCUUGUGAAUUCAACAAAUAUUAUCUUGACAUGACGAGGCGGUUACGAAAAAAAAAAAAAAGAAGAAAAAACCAGACAAAAAUAGGAUCAUCUAUUCGUGGGAAGCUGUCUAUUUCCAGUAUGACAGGAUGUUUCGAGAUAGACCUAUGGUUGAAACUGGGGAGAUACAUCAAUUUUUCUUUUGAAUUCACGACGAUGAAAUCCCUGUCGGGGAAACGGCUUUUUUUUACCUCAUCGUAAUCCAGUAUGAAGUGGGUGGAAAAGAACUCCAUUUCGAUUCCCUCAUCAAUUAUGCAGUUCGCACGCUCAAUUACGAAACAGAAGCCGCGAUAAUUUAUAUAUAAUAUUUUAAAAACUUUGUGAUGAAUGAUUGUUCGCGGUGCAACUGAAACCAGGCACGCAAAAAACGCCUGUUAUUUAUGGAGUGGUCUAACAUUUUUCUAUAAAGCGAGAUAGCACGUGAGGGGGAGGUAAGUAAUUUUGCUCCGCCAAAAAUGGCAAGUCUUUCCCUCUCUGGGUGUUUCAUCAUUUAGAUCGCCCUAAAGAAGAAACAAAGUUGUUAAAGAAGCCUGACCCGAGGGUUACGAUUUAUGCAACUUUAAUUCGGCCGGAACAAUUUUUUUUUUUAAUCGGAUUAAGAAGAUGAAGAUGGGGAGGUUAAGUUUUGGCGCGCGGUUCGGUGGGACGCGUAUAACGGGAAUUUAUGUUUCUCCAGAAGUGUUUUACCAUUUUUAUAGCCUCUCGAGAAGCACCUGCGCCGAUCUAACGAAUGCAAGAUUGAAUAACAAAUCCGGAGCUUGACGCGGAGCUUCACACCCUCGGGAAACCGAAUUGUCCACGUACCUCGGUGAUCUGUAACAAGAAAACAAGAAAGGAAUUCGUAUUAUUAUUUCUUUUUUUCUCCCUUUUGUGAAAAAGUGACGAUAGAUUCAAAUAGAUUUUCAGAUUUUUUAAUUCAAGAUUUUUUUGAAUUCAGGAUCGUCGUUACUUGGCUAUGGAUUCGAGAAUAAAAUUUUGUGGAAAUCGUUUAUUAACAAAUUCAAUGCGGCAUCAAGGAUUGAAAGGCGUUCCUGAAUGGCGAAUAUCGAUUUUUGAUACGAAAUAUAAAAUGAAAACGAAAAAGGCUGUGUUUACUGAUGAUAAUAUCUGUAUUGAACGGGCAGUAUUGUAAAAGGAAAAUUCGGACGGAAAAAUCUUUUUCAUCUUUUUCACAUUUCUUAAAAAAGUUCUUUCAUGAAUAACGAAUCUUUAUGAUGUCAUCGAACAUGUAAAAUUCUUUAAACUUAAAAUUUUAUCAGUAUAUUCGAUUCGUGCAAUUUUUUUUUUUACUUUUUAAAUGCGAAGAAUUGCAUGUGUAUGCAAUCAUCGUAAAUAUUCUUUUGUCAAUUUAAUUUCACAGUUGUGUACGUUCAUUGUUUAUUUAUUAGGGAGAAUUAAUUGAAACUAUUUCUGUUGAUAAAAGCUUGAUAAAAUAUAGUGGUAAAUGAUAACGGAAUAUUACGGAAUAUCGUAAUUAUCAAUAUAUUCAAUGUAACGGAAACGUAAUUAUAAUUUUGACACAAUUGACGCAUCACUGUUCGUUGAACGUGUCAUCAUCAAUAUUCAUUAUCCCCCACGCGAGUCACGUUUCAACGCAUUACAAAAUCGAAAAUAAUCAAUCAAAUUUAUUCUC
Apis cerana (Asiatic honeybee) is the source of this 1918-nucleotide long non-coding RNA. RefSeq lists it as uncharacterized. NCBI's taxonomy places the organism in Eukaryota, Metazoa, Arthropoda, Insecta, Hymenoptera, Apidae. The record is from RefSeq and is a predicted model, not a curated record.